Molecule: ribosomal RNA, 497 nt
Filed under: uncultured bacterium
Lineage: Bacteria
Description: partial 16S ribosomal RNA
Rfam family: Bacterial small subunit ribosomal RNA
Source: RNAcentral
GAUGAACGCUGGCGGCGUGCCUAAUACAUGCAAGUCGAACGCACAGCGAAAGGUGCUUGCCCCUUUCAAGUGAGUGGCGAACGGGUGAGUAACACGCGGACAACCUGCCUCAAGGCUGGGGAUAACAUUUGGAAACAGAUGCUAAUACCGAAUAAAACUUAGUGUCGCAUGACACAAAGUUAAAAGGCGCUUCGGCGUCACCUAGAGAUGGAUCCGCGGUGCAUUAGUUAGUUGGUGGGGUAAAGGCCUACCAAGACAAUGAUGCAUAGCCGAGUUGAGAGACUGAUCGGCCACAUUGGGACUGAGACACGGCCCAAACUCCUACGGGAGGCUGCAGUAGGGAAUCUUCCACAAUGGGCGAAAGCCUGAUGGAGCAACGCCGCGUGUGUGAUGAAGGCGUUCGGGUCGUAAAGCACUGUUGUAUGGGAAGAACAGCUAGAAUAGGAAAUGAUUUUAGUUUGACGGUACCAUACCAGAAAGGGACGGCUAAAUACGUG